AUGCCGCCCGCAAUGGCCACGCUCACCACCACCUCCCCUCCCCUCCUCCUCCUCAGCAUCAUCCUCUUCCUGCUGGCUGACGCCGCCGCCACGGCCGACGCGGUGCGGUUCGACUACGCCACGCUGACCCUCGCCACUCUCAAGCUGCUGGGCGACGCGCACCUCAACAACAACACCAUCCGCCUCACGCGGGACCUGCCGGUGCCCACCUCGGCCGCGGGGCGGGCGCUCUACGCGGCCCCCGUUCGCCUCCUCGCCGGCUUCUCCACCAGCUUCGCCUUCACCGUCACCACGCUCAACCGGGGCUCCGUCGGCGGGGGGCUCGCCUUCGUCGUCGCCCCCGACGCCGCCUCCGUCGGCGACGGCGGGGCGUUCAUCGGGCUCGACCCCGCCGCCGACGUCGCCGUCGAGUUCGACACGCUCAUGGACCUCCAGUUCGGGGACGUCAACGGGAACCACGUGGGCGUCGAUCUCGGCAGCAUGGUGUCCGUGGCCGCCGCCGAUCUGGAUUUGGCUGGGGUCGAGCUCACCAGCGGGAGGACCGUGUACGCGUGGAUCGAGUACGCGCCGGGGAAGGCCAUGGACGUGUUCGUGUCCUACUCGGCCAAGCGGCCCCCGGCGCCGGUGCUGUCGGCGACGGUCGAUCUGGCGGGCUAUGUCAAGGAGCAGGCGUUCGUGGGGUUCUCCGCUUCCACGCAGGGCAGCACGGAGAUCCACGCCAUCGAGUGGUGGAGCUUCUCGACCCCGUCCCCUCCUUCCCCGGCGCCGUCCAAGCCGCCGCCCGUUUCCGCGGUUGCUCCCCCUCCGGCGAGGGUCCUCGACCCGACGCUUCCCUCUACUCCGCAGCUCCCGGGCAUCACGCCGCCAGCGACACCAGCGACGGUUUCGGCACCGCCGACCAGCUCAGUUACUGCGGCGAGCGCCCCGGCCAUUUCGGUCGCUCGGAAUAAUGCCAAGACGCCGCACCCGCCUCCACAAGGGGCCGUGGCCGGCGCCGCGACGGCGGGGGCAGUCGUGGCGGCGUCGUUCGCGGGCUUCGCGCUCUGGGCGCUCGCGCGCCGCGCCAAGGCUAGGAAGCGGGACGCCAUGGCGGUGGCCACGAAGCGCGACAACGUGGCGUCGGCGGCGGCCAUGGCGCGGUCGCCGCGGGAGUUCUCCUACAAGGAGCUCAGCGCCGCGACGCGGGGCUUCGACGCGUCCCGGGUCAUCGGCAACGGCGCGUUCGGCGUCGUGUACAAGGGCAUCGUCCCGGACACGGGCGCCAUGGUCGCCGUGAAGCGGUGCACCAACGCCAACGCCGACGGCGCGCAGGCGCGGGCCGAGUUCCUCUCCGAGCUCUCCAUCAUCGCGGGCCUCCGCCACCGCAACCUCCUCCGGCUCCAGGGCUGGUGCUACGAGAAAGGCGAGAUCCUGCUGGUCUACGACUAUAUGCGCAACGGCAGCCUGGACCGGACGCUCUUCGACGCCUCCUCCCCGGCCCUGCCGUGGCGCCACCGCCACGAGAUCCUCGCCGGCGUGGCCUCCGCGCUGGCCUACCUCCACCACGAGUGCGACCGCCGCGUCAUCCACCGGGACGUCAAGUCGAGCAACGUGAUGCUGGACGAGUCGUACCGCGCGCGGCUGGGCGACUUCGGGCUCGCGCGGCAGGCCGAGCACGGCGCGUCCCCGGACGCCACGGCCGCGGCCGGCACCAUGGGGUACCUGGCGCCGGAGUACAUGCUGACCGGCCGCGCCACCGAGGCCACCGACGUGUUCAGCUUCGGCGCGCUGGUGCUGGAGGUGGCGUGCGGGCGGCGGCCCAUCGGGACGGAGGGCCGGUGCAACAACCUGGUGGAGUGGGUGUGGAGCCUGCACGGCGAGGCCCGCGUGCUGGACGCCGUCGACCCGCGGCUCGGCGGCGAGUACGACGAGGGGGAGAUGCGGCGGGUGCUGCUGGUGGGGCUUGUGUGCUCCAGCCCGGAGCCGGAGCGCCGGCCGGGGAUGCGCGCCGUGGUGCAGAUGCUGAGCGGGGAGGCGGACCCGCCGUUCGUGCCGGCGGCGAGGCCGUCCAUGAGCUUCAGCGCCAACCACCAGCUGCUGCUGAGCCUCCAGGACAGCGUGUCCGACUACAACGCGCUGGGGCUGAACCUGUCGGAUGAGGACUCCUCGUCCGACUCGCUGAGCUCGUCGUCGCUCACCAGCACUCUGCGCAAGGGCGGCCACGACAUCGGGUUCAGCAGCACCGCCGGCGGCGACGCCCGGUGA
This 2244-nucleotide ribosomal RNA is filed under the name Triticum aestivum (bread wheat). RNAcentral describes it as "partial small subunit ribosomal RNA". Lineage: Eukaryota; Viridiplantae; Streptophyta; Magnoliopsida; Poales; Poaceae. The record is from RNAcentral.